This 440-nucleotide ribosomal RNA is filed under the name uncultured bacterium. Its description in RNAcentral is "partial 16S ribosomal RNA". It matches the Rfam family "Bacterial small subunit ribosomal RNA", at positions 338 to 795 of the family's 1533-position model. The record is from RNAcentral.
CCUACGGGAGGCAGCAGUAGGGAAUAUUGCUCAAUGGGGGAAACCCUGAAGCAGCAACGCCGCGUGGAGGAUGAAGGUCUUCGGAUUGUAAACCCCUUUUGUUAGAGAAGAUAAUGAGGGUAUGUAACGAUUCACCACUUGCUAAUUCCGUGCCAGCAGCCGCGGGAAUACGGAGGUGGAAAGCGUUAGUCGGAAUCACGGGGGGUAAAGGGCGCGUAGGCGGGUUAGCAAGUCUGAUGUGAAAGCCCAUGGCUUAACCAUAGAGCAGCAUUUGAAACUGGCAAUCUAGAGUGCAGGAGAGGUAAGUGGAAUUCUAGGUGUAGCGGUGAAAUGCGUAGAGAUAAGGAGGAAUACUAGUGGCGAAGGCGACCUGCUGGAACGUAACUGACGCUGAUGUGCGAAAGCGUGGGGAGCAAACAGGAUUAGAUACCCGUGUAGUC